GCCGCCUCGCCUGCGGCCGGGCGCGGCGGAGCGGGGCCGCCGGGCCGGUCGGUGCCGUCUGCCGGCUUCUUGCACCGGGAAGGAGGAUCCCUGCCCAAAAUCCCCCCGGCCGCCGCGGCGGGCCCCUGGCUGGCGUUGGAUGGUGCCCAGGGAGGCGUCGGCCUUCGCAGGACGGCUUCUUGGGACCGACCGGUUUUGACGUUGGCGAAUGUCUUGGUGCAGAAGGCAUCUCAUGGCUGAGGGAUGAAGUGGUGGCAGGAGAUAACACCCGCCGCGCCAGUCAGAGCUGGGGGUGAGGGGCUGAAGGGUCUGUAUUGUCAGCAGGGGAAAGCUGGAGAGAAAAGGAGAAUGCUGGAGUGGAGCGUUUAUUGAGGAAGGCUCUGUUAUGCAGGAGCAAGGUGGAUAGAGAGGACUGGUGCCAUCCAUGGGUCAGUCACCCAUCAGUCCAGUGCACCCCACCGUGUACGUCGCCUGAAGAUCUAAGUGGGCUUAUAUAAGGGACAGGAUUGGGCUGUGCGGGCAGCAGCUUUGCCCCUGAUGGGGAAGUUGGGGAAGAGGGCCUGUUCCAGCGUUGGGUCAGUUUGAGAAGAGUGAGUAGAAGAGGAGCAGAGAGACUUCCAUCUGCUCUCACCUCUUCUCAGUCCUCAUUCCUCCACCCGUGUCAGGUCUGGAUCCCACUACUUCUUCCUGAUAUCACCUGUCCUAGAGACAUCUUCCUAUAUUAGGCAUCCAACUUGACUGCUGAUAAACUCUGCUGUACAAAUAGUGCUGUACGUGUAAAGACUGCAUCAUUAUGUGGGGUAGGCCAUUAUAUUCUUUGAUGAUCUUUGCAAGAAUAUUAGCUGAAUGAUACCAAAACCAUCAAAUUUGUACUGUCUUAGGUGAAGGCAUUUUCCAUUUUAUACCUUUGAUGUCGCCUGACAGGGGAAUGUAGUAGAAGGGACAUUCACAGAAAUAUGUAUUUGUAUAACUGACUAUAUAUGUAUACAUAUAUCUAUGUAUAAAAUAUGUAGUAUUGCAAUCUGGGGCCCAAUCUUCUUUCACCUAUUCCUGCAGUUGAAAUCAAAGUUGACUCUCGAAAGUCUUUGGUACUGGGAUUCCAGUUAGGCACAAAUGCUUAUUUCUGGGUCUCGGGCCUUAUCUGUGUUCAUAGUAACUAACCAAAUUAAGCUAAUUCAGUAUAAAUCAGUUUUAAAUCAGCUUAAACAUAGCCCCAUGAAGAUUUCUGUCACUUCAACUAAACAGAAUUAGAAAAAUACUUUAGCUAGAUUAAUGGCGCUUUGAUUGAGCACAAGAUAUUAGUUAGCCGUUCUCUUCUUCCACUCUCCAGUCACAGGAAGGAAACAUCAUUAUACAAUCUGUAAAUCCAAUCAGAAGUUGGUAAUGUGGCCUGAAUUUUGAAUAACAAAUACUGGUAUUGAACAUGUAGGCUGUUAUUCAUAACAAUGCUUGUAUGAAUUAUUUUGUAUAAUACAUUUUGAGGAAGCCAUAAGACUUCAUAAAAUGCAGAAGGGAAACAGAGUAAUUUAUUUUUUACAAAUUAUGCAGUUAUUUUGAAUACAGAAUUACUGUGUUAUCUCAAAACACGUGGAGCCUCUCAGGCACAUUACUGUGAGAUACUGUGAAUUGUUCUGGAGAAAUAGUAGUAGAAUGCUGUAACUGUUUUAAGUUAGUGAAGCCCCCCCUGUUAACUGCAGAAAUGAUAGGAUUUCUUUCCCAAAUAUUUGUUAUGCUGAAAGAAACUUUGAGAACUGAAAAGGUUACCUGUUUGAGCACCAUCAAUAGGAUUAACGCCAAUUUGGGUAUCCUCUUUCUUUUUUUUUUUUUCUUCUUUUGUUGUUUUUUGUUGUUUUUCAAUUAUGAGAAACAUUUGGGUGUUGUUUUUUCUCUUUUUUUUUUCCUGUAUGAAAUGUAUAGGAAGAAGGAGAUGAAGGCUUUUGAAGUGAUGAGCACUUUUGAAAAUGCCACCUUCCCCAAGGUAUAAAUGCUGCGGAUGUGUGAUUUUACAAGAAAGAAAACUGCAUCUGAUGCCAUCUGCAGUCUUGGACCAAACCCAAACUGUAACUCAAACUGAAAUGGAGUUUGUUGUUCAAGUACUGGGUCAAAUACAAAACUGCCUUUAGCAGCCUGCUCUCAGGAGAGAUUCUCUUAGAAUGAGGUAGUUGGGAGGCUGAAUUACUGCUCACCAUCUUAGGUGGUGUUCCAAGGUCAAAGUUAGGAAUAUAAGUGGAAAAUGCUGUAGUGAACUCUUGAUUUGAAGUUGUUGGAGAUGACAACUGUUAUUUAGUUGGGACUUGCUUAGAUGGAAGAAUACAACCUGAAAAUUAUUUUAACUAGGAAGGUAGGCAUGGGGCUCAUGAUUUUCCGGAUGAGCCUUUUGCUUCAGACUGCAGGCUGGAAUCAAAUUGAAAGUGUCAGAGUUCACCUCUAGCUGAGCAGGUCCAACAAGUCCUACCUAUUCCAGCCUGAUGCUCAUUCUUCAUGAUCUACAAGAUUAUUAUAAACUAAUCUGUUAGUCAUUGAAAAAUCAGCUAAUGUUAUUUCUGGCUAGACCAGUGGCACUUCCUGUAGAAUAAAGGCUGCGUAGGGUAAAAAUGAAAUAGUGGUGCAAUACAUUAUUGAAAAUCUAGGACUUGUCUUUGGAGUGUACAGGAAAAAUUUAAAAUAGUAAGCUACUGUUCCUCAUACUGUGCUUGCUUCUUUGUUUGUGCAGCAGCUUUUUGUGGCAUUGUAAGGAUUCAGUGUAUAAUUCAACUGUCUAAAGCUUUAUGUUAUGUUUACACUAUUUACUCCAUAGCAGCUAGCGUCAAUGUUGUUUGGACUUGCCAGCACUGGGUAAAGGAAAUACAGUGUACAAAUAAGGCUUAACUAGGCUUACUAAUUGCACUAAGUACCUAAAAUAUCUUUCAGAAAACUAUUAAAAGAAGUCUAUAUGAUAAAAGAUGUUAGAGAGUUAUUUAUGUCAAAACAGUGUUGUAAAGCAGUUCAGUGAGCAAGCAGAUGUUUGAAAACAAAUGUUUUCAGUAGGCAAUAUAUUUUUAUUUGUUUCUAUGUCAUUGAUGGCUGUUGAUACAAAAUGUACUCUCUCACAGCAAGUUCAAAGACAACCACCUACCUACUAAUUUUGUGAUAUGCAACAUUUACUGUUAAUCCUCCCCAUAGCCUUUCCUUUGUAGUUGUUCUCUGUAUGAAGCUGUAUUUAUUGGAAUUUGUGCAGACCUUGAUCUUCAACUGACUUCAGUGAAGCCGUCAUAUACAUCAAAAUAGGCUUAAAAGAUUUCAGUGCAAACCUCCUGUACCCCAAAUAGAUCAUUCUUACACUCCAAGAAUGAAUUACUCUGCACUGUUAACUUUAAGAAAGUAGUUCUAAGUAACCAAGAUCCUGAUAACAGAUUACUUCUAAUGCUUCACAAUUGAACUAUAAAAGUCUUAUCAGAAUAGA
Molecule: long non-coding RNA, 3442 nt
Organism: Tyto alba (common barn owl)
Lineage: Eukaryota; Metazoa; Chordata; Aves; Strigiformes; Tytonidae
Exons: 2
Source: RefSeq, a predicted model, not a curated record